AGAGUUUGAUCCUGGCUCAGGAUGAACGCUGACAGAAUGCUUAACACAUGCAAGUCGACUGGAAUUCACCUUCGGGUGAUAGUACGGUGGCGGACGGGUGAGUAACGCGUAAAGAACUUGCCCUCUAGACUGGGACAACUGUUGGAAACGACAGCUAAUACCGGAUAUUAUGAGAGCCUCGCAUGGGGAACUCAUGAAAGCUAUAUGCGCUAGAGGAGAGCUUUGCGUGCCAUUAGCUAGUUGGUGGGGUAACGGCCCACCAAGGCGACGAUGGCUAGCCGGCCUGAGAGGGUGAUCGGCCACAAGGGGACUGAGACACGGCCCUUACUCCUACGGGAGGCAGCAGUGGGGAAUAUUGGACAAUGGACCAAAAGUCUGAUCCAGCAAUUCUGUGUGCACGAUGAAGGUCUUCGGAUCGUAAAGUGCUUUCAGGUGGGAAGAAAAAAAUGACGGUACCACCAGAAGAAGCGACGGCUAAAUACGUGCCAGCAGCCGCGGUAAUACGUAUGUCGCAAGCGUUAUCCGGAAUUAUUGGGCGUAAAGCGCGUCUAGGCGGCCUUUUAAGUCUGAUGUGAAAAUGCGGGGCUCAACUCCGUAUUGCGUUGGAAACUGGAAGGCUAGAGCAUCAGAGAGGUGGGCGGAACUACAAGUGUAGAGGUGAAAUUCGUAGAUAUUUGUAGGAAUGCCGAUUGGGAAGCCAGCUCACUGGAUGAAAUACUGACGCUGAAGCGCGAAAGCGUGGGGAGCAAACGGGAUUAGAUACCCCGGGUAGUCCACGCCGUAAACGAUGAUCACUAAGUGUGGGGGGUCGAACCUCCGUGCUC
Molecule: ribosomal RNA, 824 nt
Filed under: uncultured bacterium
Lineage: Bacteria
Description: bacterial SSU rRNA
Rfam family: Bacterial small subunit ribosomal RNA
Source: RNAcentral